UACGUAGGUGGCAAGCGUUGUCCGGAUUUACUGGGUGUAAAGGGCGUGCAGCCGGGCUGACAAGUCAGAUGUGAAAUCCCGCGGCUCAACCGCGGAACUGCAUUUGAAACUGUCAGUCUUGAGUACCGGAGAGGUCAUCGGAAUUCCUUGUGUAGCGGUGGAAUGCGUAGAUAUAAGGAAGAACACCAGUGGCGAAGGCGGAUGACUGGACGGCAACUGACGGUGAGGCACGAAAGCGUGGGGAGCAAACAGG
RNAcentral lists this ribosomal RNA (253 nucleotides) under uncultured bacterium. RNAcentral describes it as "partial 16S ribosomal RNA". It matches the Rfam family "Bacterial small subunit ribosomal RNA", at positions 524 to 776 of the family's 1533-position model. The record is from RNAcentral.